Long non-coding RNA from Lathyrus oleraceus (garden pea), 4337 nucleotides. RefSeq lists it as uncharacterized. NCBI's taxonomy places the organism in Eukaryota, Viridiplantae, Streptophyta, Magnoliopsida, Fabales, Fabaceae. The transcript is spliced from 3 exons. The record is from RefSeq and is a predicted model, not a curated record.
UUGUUAAUCUGUUGGAUUCCAAGGCUUGGUGUGGUAACGUGGCGAUUAAAGUGGAUAUCACCAAAGCUUGUGAUACUCUCAAUUGGGAAUUCUUACUAGCAGUCCUUCAUAUAUUUGGUUUCAAUUCCAAAUUAUGUUCGUGGAUUAGGAUUACUUUGCAAUCUGUUUUUCUGUCCACGGUUACUUCAAUUGCUCCCGGGGCGUCCGUCAAGGUGAUCUGUUUUCUCCGUUUCUUUUUUGUCUUGAUGAGAAAGUUUUGAGUAGGAAACUUCUUCAAUUGGCCUCUGAUUGCUCACUGGAUCAGAUUAUGGGACCAAAGAAAGUUAAGGUUCAUUCGCACAUUCUUUAGGCUCACGACAUUCUUAUUUUCUACAAAGGGAAGUGUUCCAACAUCCAUAAGCUCAUAUCAAUUUUCAAAGAUUAUGCUGCAAUUUCUGGUCAAGUGGUUAACUGUGGCAAAUCGUUCAUUUACGGAGGUGCGAUGUCUUCCUCCAGGCUUAAUAUCUUUGCUGCUCUUUCCGGGUUUCAAAUAGGCUCUCUUCCUUUUAUCUUGGCGUCCCUCUAUUUAAGGGUAAACCUAAGAGGAUCUUUUUGCAACCUAUUGCAGAUAGAUUAAUCAACAAGUUGGCUUCGUGGAAAGGUUCUUUAUUCUCUAUCGUCGGUCGUGUGGAGCUGGAUAAAUUAACUCUCUUUGGGAUGUUUACUCACAGUAUGAUCGUUUAUGCAUGGCCGCUGUCCCUUGAUGCUGAUAUUGAGAGGGUUGUUGGAAGAUUUAUUUGGAGUGGUGAUACUUCUAAAUUGAAAACGAUCACGGUAGCUUGGAAUAACAUCUGUAAGCCUACUGCUGAAGGCGUCAUUGGGCUGCGAUCUCUUUACAGUUUGAAUGAAGCUAUGAACUUGAAGUUAGCUUUGGAUAUCCUCAACUCCGAAGACUGUUGGGUUGUUCAGAUACGGGAAAGAGUGAUGCGCAAAAAUAAUUUCAUCAAUCAUCAUAUUUUUUAUUCUGUUUGGUCUAGUGCUAAAACAGAAAUUCAUCAUGCUCGGGAUAAUUAUUCUUGGUGUAUUGGUAACGGUGAAUCUACGAGCUUAUGGUUUGAUAGUUGAUGUGGCUCUCAUGCUCCGGACAUUGUCGUUGAUAAGGUCAACAUCAUUCUGGUUAAUGGUUGUUGGGACUUUUCCAAAUAUACCACUAAUAUUCCUCUUUCUCUUCAUGUGCGCAUUUGUAACUGUCAUAUUCUGGUUGAUCUUCGUCCGGAUAAGAGAUGUUGGAAUUUUACUUCUGAUGGUGAUUUAUCUCUUAAAGAGGCCUACAAUUUUAAAUGGAAUAAGGGAACUCUCAAGGACUUUUGAAGAUGAAUUUGGAAUAAGUCGAUCCCGUUGUCUAAGUCUUUUUGGUUUGGAGGCUUAUAUCACAAGUUGCAGAGGAAACAGAACCUCAUCUUUUCUUUAAUUGCUCCUAAGCAUCUUCUCUUUGGAGUUGUUUGAAAAACAUUCUUGAUCUUAAUUUCGCUAUUAAGGAUUGGCCGGACAUUUGGAAGCUUCUUGGUAUGAUGGGCUCAAAGCACGACAAGAUCAUUUCUAGAGUCGCCACCAUUUUCAUCCUCAACUCGAUAUGGAAGGCUCGAAACAUGGUGCGUGCGAAUUGAAUGCGGCAUAGAAAAAAGACUUUAAAAGAAGUCAAAUUAUGAUAAAUGAUAAGGUAAAAUGCAAUAAAUGACAUUAAACAAAACAAAGGGAAAAGUACAUGUUCAUUACUGCGGGACUACUGUGUUUACUCCAUGUUCAAUUCACAAGUUCCCACUAGUGUGCUUACGUGUCUUCCAAGACACCCUCUAUUAAAAACCCAUGUUUGAGUGGUAACUACUUCCCACUUCUUCACAAACCCUCGAUGCUAACUGCUCGAACGUAUUGUCGACGUUGCUUAUCCAGGACUCAAGACUUAUAAUUUUACUAAGUCUUUUACAUCAUGUGGCUUAAUCGACUGGUCCUCUUGAAGGAAUAUAGAUGUUUGUCGAUUGUCCUUCUCGAGAUUUUGGACAUGUUCUCAGGUCUGGGGGAAUUUAUCCUUGAGAAUCCUCCAAACCACGUCUCAUUGUGUCGAUAGCUUGGUCGACCCUUCUUCGUUGGUCUAUCGACGACUUAUCAUUAAUGGUCUUUUAAGGACACUUUAUUAAUGCUUUCUCACAAUAAAUGUCCUUCACUGAUAUUCUUUGUUGACUUUCUAGUAGAUGAAAAUCCAAGUGUAACAGAUGCCCCCCCCCCCAAAAAAAAAUUCAUUCUCGACCCAUGUCAGAGGGGAGAAAGGUGGCGUUAUUUGCAACUACUCUAUCAUUGUUCACAUUUUGUGCCACGUCACCUCAGUCAUGUUUGUUGUCAGUCAUUAUGACUAACUUUUCUACCAAUGCACACGUCACGAUCGUGCGUGCAGAUUCAUUAUGAUUACCUCUUAUUCCCUAGGAAGACUAAGUGAAAUGGAAAUGCUCUAACUUCUAUCUUGCUUUCCCCAUGGUGUUUAUAUUCCAUUUGUCGAAUCAACCACCAUGUGGCCGAUCUUUUCUCAGACAAAAAUUGAACCAUUUUUCAUUUGUUAUUUAAACGUGUUUAUUCAAAACGCCUUCUUCUUUCCUGUUUUUGUACUUUUCCUUACUAAAAUCCUAGCUUUUCCUUCUUCCUUACGCUCUUACUCAUACAAAACCCAUAUCCUUCAAUGUCGCUUCCAGUACAACACCAUGCGGGCUUUGCAGCCAAAAUUGAUCUUCCUAUCAUCGUGGAUGACGUGCCUACGUGUCAGAGCCUCCCUUGGAAAUGGAACGCAGAAAGAUCUGGUAUCGCUCUUCUUUUAUCCCCUACAUUCUUGUUGGUAAUGUGCAUGCACUUAUGGGUCCCUCACCCAAAUAUAUUAAGAAACCCCAACUGCUCUAGGAUUAUUUCCCUAUAUACCGUGGAUAUGAACCAUUAGUGUUCAUAAAUGAACCUUUCAAGUUUAACUACUUCAAAAAUCAGGUCUUCCGCUCCUCUCCGCCACAGAAGGAUGUUGAGUAUAUUAAGUGACUGGAUAGGGUUGAAGGGAAGAAUGUACACUACAGGAAAGAUUUAGGCAUUUAUGAUCUAAUCCAGCUAUCCAGGGCGAGUCUCUCUUACAAUCCUCAUAUGUUGAUCGCUUUCAUCUGUUUCUGGGAUACUUCCACCAAUACUUUUCAACUACCCUAUGGGAUGAUAACUCCCACUUUCUUCGAUAUAGCUUCCAUAACUGGUGUUGGUCCAACUGGUAUGGACUUCGAUCAUGCAAAAGUUACCAGAACUCAUCUUCUCUUCUCCUUCUCUAGACCAGGUUACAGCUCUUUCAUAGAGGAUCAUCGAAAGGCAACCCACGAUAUUUCUACGCGCGAACACAUUGUGUUUCUUACUUACUGGUUGUUGAGAUAUGUAUUAUGCGCUCGAUCUGUUCAGGUGGCUAAAAAAUGCGUGCCCCUUGUAACCCAACUUUAUGAAGGCAAGAAAAUAUGAAUGAGCCAACUAAUUCUCAUGGGACUUUACGAGUCCAUGGUCUUGGUUGUCACUGAUAUCGUGAGACCAGAAAAUCCCAAUACCUUACAAAUAAGGCGACUUAUUUGGCUUUUGCAGAUGUGGUUGAAUGCCACUUUUGAAUCUUCCCUAAAGGCUAGAGUUCUCCCAACUCGACGGUGGGAAUCGAAGGUCCUCGUCUAGCUAAGCUCACCCCAAACGAUGGGAAGGUGUUAUCUAUAGAGAUCUUCGAAGAUUACUUCUAUAUAUUUUACAGGUGUAAAACUUUCACUAAGUCAAUGGCCCUAUUUUCCAGUCGACAGUGCAGUCCUGAAUGGUUCAGGAAACCUUAUCCCAACGAGUCUCGACGAGAGCAAGAUGAGAUCGAGAGGGUUUUAUUUUCCUGAUUUAAUCCCACCCUUUUAUGGGUGAGGCUUACCACUUCAAUGAUCGGUUUUGAGGGUGGCUUAUUACCAACCUAAUUUGGUGGCUAGACAAUUUGGGUUGAGCCAGCCUCUCCCUAAGUGACUUAUCCCUAUCACCAAAACUUUCUUCUGCAUGCUUGAUACUGCUACUGAGAGGUGGCUCAAAGGCAGUCGUUCAUUCUACAUAAAGAAAUAAGUUUACUUACAGGCUUUCGACUACACUCUUUAUUAUCACUGUACUCGGGAGUUCAAAGAAUGGUGGGCCCAACAUUGGUCCCUUGUGCAUCACCAAACAAUGAUGGCACAAUGUUUAGUUGAUGCUUUUUCUUUCCUAAGAGAAAUAGGUAUGCCCAAGAAUCUAAAGACUUCUACUAAUAGCUCUCUAGGAGCCGGCAUUUUGUGAGCUGC